UCGAGAGGCUUUGUCAAUGGGGGAAACCCUGAACAAGCGACGCCGCGUGAGGGAUGAAGGCCUUUGGGUUGUAAACCUCUGUUGCUCGGGAAGAAACGCCGGUGGGCGAAUAGUCCGCCGGCUUGACGGUACCGAGUGAGGAAGCUCCGGCUAACUCCGUGCCAGCAGCCGCGGUAAUACGGGGGGAGCAAGCGUUGUUCGGAAUCACUGGGCGUAAAGGGCGCGUAGGCGGUCAGGUAAGUGAGAUGUGAAAGGCUCCGGCUCACCCGGAGACAUGCAUCUCAUACUGCUUGGCUCGAGUACAGGAGAGGAAACGAGAAUUCCAGGUGUAGCGGUGAAAUGCGUAGAUAUCUGGAGGAAUACCGGUGGCGAAGGCGCGUUUCUGGCCUGAUACUGACGCUGAUGCGCGAUAGCUAGGGGAGCAAACGGGAUUAGAUACCCCCGUAGUCC
RNAcentral lists this ribosomal RNA (450 nucleotides) under uncultured bacterium. Its description in RNAcentral is "bacterial SSU rRNA". It matches the Rfam family "Bacterial small subunit ribosomal RNA", at positions 355 to 796 of the family's 1533-position model. The record is from RNAcentral.